RNA transcript from Wasmannia auropunctata (little fire ant), 774 nucleotides. RefSeq lists it as uncharacterized. NCBI's taxonomy places the organism in Eukaryota, Metazoa, Arthropoda, Insecta, Hymenoptera, Formicidae. The record is from RefSeq and is a predicted model, not a curated record. The transcript has 2 exons.
GAGAUUAUUUUUCAGCGAUGCGCCGAGGUUCUUGUCGAGGAAUUGCUUGAAGUGUACGCAUAAAAGCGCGAAACGGACAAAAUCGAAAGUCGUCUCGCGUCUGAUUUUUCUUCGGACCGCCGAACGUGUCAAAAUGCCUCUAAAGUGAUUUGACGUAAAAAAAAAUUCUCCGUUUGAUUUGAACGUAUAAGAGAUAAAUUCAAGAGUUGUAUUACGAAAGAGAGUUUACCGUCACUUUCGUCCCGUGUAUCUUCCGCGAGUCGAGUAUUACCCGUUAAUUCGGGUUCGCGAUUGAACAAAUUCUUACGAAAGAUGUUACGUCUGUCGAGAGGACUCCGGUGUCAAGGAGUCCGUCUGUUCGCGCCGCGGGACGGGAGGAAGAGUUGCGUCACACAAUUUCCCGGCGGCGGCGACGACGACGGGAAGGCCAGCUUCGGAACCGAGGAACGGCACGUACUGACGGUUGGAACUAAUCGAGGGGUCAACUACUACUUUAAAAAAAUGUGAGCAGGACGAGAGGGGUACCCAGCACGAGCAUGAAUCUAAAGGAAGCCCUCUGCGAGAAGAUUCCCGUGCACCACGAUCUUCUGAGAAACUUUCGAUUUCACUUCGGUCCGAGCGUCGUUAGUCAGAUCACGGUCGAGGACCUGUACGCGGGACUAAGCGACGUGAAAACCAUCGUCAAGGAAACCUCGGAACUUCAUCCUAAACAUGGCGUAAUAAUCGCAGAAUGAAUCGUUCAAUUCACCUAUCGUAGCUAUUUAUGUCGCAUAA